CUCAAGUCGACUUAACCCGGCUGGAAGCGUCGUCGCAAGCAGCGCGUCGCAGACAAAGCGGAGUUAAUCGCAUACAACCCAGAGGCCACGCCCGGCUUCCGACGGUUGCUGAUUUUUUGCUCGCGACUUUCGUGAAGCGAAAGAAAUGGCUGCCCAGGCGAGCGUCCUCUCCGCGCCGUUCGCGGGGUCCUCCCCCGCGGUCGCGCGCUCCCGCGCUCCGGCGCGCGCGUCCAAGGUUGUGGUUGCCUCCCGCGGGUACCCCCGCGCGGCACCUGUCAGCCUCGCCACCGCGCGUCGCCCGCAGUCGCUCUCGGCCGGUGUUCCGGUCGUCCGGGUUCGCUUCGCAGCGAGGCCCGGGGCCGUCCGUGCCUCCGUCAGGG
This 380-nucleotide long non-coding RNA is filed under the name Micromonas commoda. Its description in RNAcentral is "long non-coding RNA (MCOM_LNC000133)". Lineage: Eukaryota; Viridiplantae; Chlorophyta; Mamiellophyceae; Mamiellales; Mamiellaceae. The record is from RNAcentral.